GACGUAGGGCGCGAGCGUUGUCCGGAUUUAUUGGGCGUAAAGAGCUCGUAGGCGGCUUGUUGCGUCGACCGUGAAAACCCGGGGCUCAACUUCGGGCUUGCGGUCGAUACGGGCGGGCUAGAGUUCGGUAGGGGAGACUGGAAUUCCUGGUGUAGCGGUGAAAUGCGCAGAUAUCGGGAGGAACACCAAUGGCGAAGGCAGCUUGCUGGACGGUACUGACGCUGAGACGCGAAAGCGUGGGGAGCAAACAGG
RNAcentral lists this ribosomal RNA (252 nucleotides) under uncultured bacterium. RNAcentral describes it as "partial 16S ribosomal RNA". It matches the Rfam family "Bacterial small subunit ribosomal RNA", at positions 524 to 776 of the family's 1533-position model. The record is from RNAcentral.